This 67-nucleotide transfer RNA is filed under the name Rhithropanopeus harrisii. RNAcentral's name for it is "tRNA-Ser". Lineage: Eukaryota; Metazoa; Arthropoda; Malacostraca; Decapoda; Panopeidae. The record is from RNAcentral.
GGGAUAUUAGGUUAAAAGAGAAACUUCUAAUUUCACUUUAUAGCGGUUCAACUCCGUUUAUAUCCCU